UACGUAGGGAGCAAGCGUUGUCCGGAAUCAUUGGGCGUAAAGCGCGCGUAGGUGGCCCGGUAAGUCCGCUCUGAAAGUCACAGGCUCAACCUGUGAAAGCGGGUGGAUACUGCCGGGCUAGAGUCCGGAAGGGGAGACUGGAAUUCCUGGUGUUGCGGUGAAAUGCGCAGAUAUCAGGAGGAACACCGAUGGCGAAGGCAGCUCGCUGGGACGGUACUGACGCUGAGGCGCGAAAGCGUGGGGAGCAAACAGG
This 253-nucleotide ribosomal RNA is filed under the name uncultured bacterium. RNAcentral describes it as "partial 16S ribosomal RNA". It matches the Rfam family "Bacterial small subunit ribosomal RNA", at positions 524 to 776 of the family's 1533-position model. The record is from RNAcentral.